CAAGUUGGCCAAUAUUUCCUACACGUCAUUGUUUCUUAGGAUCUGAUCUUUCAUUUUUUAUGUCAUCAAGAAUUCUGUUGCAGGUGUCCAUUGUGCGGGCAGAGAGUAGACUGUGAUUCCAGAGUUUGAUCAUAAACAUGCGCCAUCCCCUCGGAGUUUUCUAAAAGUUCUUCUCCAUGAUGUCGGGAGAAUGCCUCACAAGCCCAAGGUACGUGACUAUCAGCUAGUAUCCUUUGUUUUCGAAUAAAUGAAUUCCACAUGUGCAUAAUGCGCUUCUCAUCUUUUGUAACAUCAACAAAAUCAUCAAGCAUCUGCAUUUACUCAGCAAAGCCAAGUUUUACUGAAAAUAGAAACAAAAUAAAGAUGAGAAGAGGCCUUUUUCGAUCACCUGUGCCUUAUGAGAAUGGAUGAACUGACGUUUUUGCAGAAGUAGACGACUGCCAGAUAAUAUAAAUGCAAUGAAGAAUAAUUUGUUUUGCAUGCUAGGAUACCAUAAGACGAGAAAUAUACCAUUUUCCUCUUGGACAUCAUCCUCAGACUCCGCUUGUGUUUCUUCAGGUGAUCCUGAUUCCAUAAUAUGUGCAUCUGCACGCGCAACCGGAAGUAUUUCUGUUCUACUCUUUUUAAACCUUGAUCUGAUGGAACACAGUUAGGCACAUUGAACAAAGGAUUUAGCAUUCCAUGUACGUAAAAUUUAUGCUAGUUUGCAUGGGCUGGAUCCCACAACCCUGAUACAUCAAACCUAGGUCAAUUAGGUACAGUGUAUGUCCUUUAUCACUAAUUUACCUCUGUUCUCAUGUUAUCUUUCUUCAGCGUAACAUUAACAGCCUGGUAAUAUUUACUCACCCAGAAUUCGUAGUGGAACAGAUCAUGUGAUGAAGUCAUGUGACAUUCCAGACCCUAAUGUUGCACAAAAUCACAAUAUUAGAUGGAGGGAGGGAAGGAGGGGGAGGAUAACCUUCACUCAUUUGUGUGUUCUUGUAGUUAAAGAGCACAUUUCCAACUCUUAGCCUGUACAAAAAGAACUUCUCAAAGAUGGUGGGACGUCACUAUAUGAGAAGGAAUUAUACGGAGAUUUGAGUAUGUCUUUUGCACCAGCCUCUGCUGCAGAUACUUUUACUUGCAACUGAUAUGGAACCUCAUCAGCUUUACGGGAACAAAAUGACAAGCAAUUGUCAUGCUCAAGAAAUGUUGGCUGCACAUGCUAGCCUGGGCUCAUACAUAUACUGAUAGGUGACUCCACUAUAUGCCCCAAAAUUAAAUCCGCACAAGUCUCCAAAGAUGAAUUAAGUAAAGUGAUCGGAAUUUUACCCCAGAAACAUUUCCCUGCAAGCUCUGAAAAUGCAUAUGAAACAAUAUCAUUUUCACAAAGAUUUUGUCCAGUUCGCCCUUUAUUUUUUUUGGUACCGCGGCUAACAAGGAUAAAAGUAAGACCAUAAGCUUGGGUGGCAAUUAAAGUCUCCAGAUCAGGAAUAACAAAUGUGGCUUCAGCACGGUCAUUAUUCCCAGAGUCAUUAAAGGAAGUAAGCAAACGGGCCUGACUGAACCGAUAUAUUGGAGAAUGCUGCAAUAUCAAGCCAUAGAUGAGAAGAGAAUAGGUCUAGCAAACAGAACAUACAGAGGAAAGAUAUUCUGUGCUUGCAAUUCCUUAUUGUUACUUCCAGGUAAUGAUAUAGUUAUCUGUAUCCUACAUUCAUGAACACAGAUGCAAAUCAGAAAGACAAGGUUUUCAUGAUGAGAUUUACAUUUUCAAUGGCUCGGUGUCGAAUAAAGUUGUACAACUCAAGUGGCUUGCAGUAUAAAGCUAAAUUUUCUUCAGGGUUAAGUUGUUGAUCUGAAGAGAACUGAGCGACAGAGUGCUCACAGCACAUCUGGCAUAGCAAUUAACAUAGUUGGCAUUUGCGUACACUGCAUCAUGGUCAGUCAAAGGUAGGCCAGGCAUCCUUGUCGACGAAAAGCUCGGUACACUGGAAUCCACCAAAAUCAGCACAUAGAAGCACAGACGAGUGCCCUAGUCAGAUCUCCAAUAGUGGAAAGAGAAGAGUUUUUCUCUUGAUAGGAUCCGGUCGAAGAACGGUGGUGGCAAGGUGCUUGCGAAUUAUAUGAGAGGAUUUGGGGAUUGAUUUGCUCGACUUCUUUCCUGCGCACAGGCAGAUCGAAAUGGAGUGCGCAAAUAUGACCAGGCGCAGAAGGGGAAUGAGGGCCUAGGUCAAGGCCUCGCCGAGGUGGGGGGCGACUCGGGCUCACGGGCGCUGGGUGCUUCUGCUGCUGCGGCCGGCGAAGGGGGAGGAGGCCGAAGAGCAGCUCCGGUGGAAGGGGAAGUCGGGAGCCCCGGUACACGGCGGCGCCGGCGUGGGGGGAGACGGCGGCGCGCGCCGGUGGGGAGCGGGAGUAGCGGCGGCGCUGGAGUGGACUUGGAUGGAG
Molecule: small RNA, 2424 nt
Filed under: Oryza sativa Japonica Group (Japanese rice)
Lineage: Eukaryota; Viridiplantae; Streptophyta; Magnoliopsida; Poales; Poaceae
Description: sRNA Os04g0162300
Source: RNAcentral